UUAAGGGUCUUGGGAUAGUUGGAGUUAAGCGUCCUUGGGUUUGAAUAGUACUGGGCUGGGUGACCUCCCAGGAAGUCCAAACUCAGAAGCUUACAUUUGGUAUCAGAGGGGUCUCAGGUCCGACUCUGUUGGUUGGCUAGGGGCAUCACACCACAUGUUGAUUGACAUCUGGCUGGUCCAGUUUGUUCCCGCUGGGCUCGACCCGAGGGGUAGGGUGUCAAGAGAGCGGGGCUCUCGGGAGAGCUGCGGCUCUCAGCUUCCGUUCACGAGGGCGUGAACUUGCAGGGAAGCGUGGUGGAUUGUAAGCAACCAAAGGGAACGACUUGAGAGACGAUCCAUGGGGUUCAAAUAUAAAGGGAAAGGGCCCAUGAAUAAGAGUGCACCCCCUUUUCCAAUCGGUUAAGGGUCUUGGGAUAUUUUGGAGUUAAGCGUCCUUGGGUUUGAAUAGUACUGGGCUGGGUGACCUUCCAGGAAGUCCAAACUCAAGAGCUUACAUUUGGUAUCAGAGGGGUCUCGGGUCCGACUCUGUUGGUUGGCUAGGGGAAUCACACCAUAUGUUGAUUGACAUCUGGCUGGUCCAGUUUGUUCCCGCUGGGCUCGACCCGAGGGGUAGGGUGUCAAGAGAGCGGGGCUCUCGGGAGAGCUGCAGCUCUCAGCUUCCGUUCACAAGGGCGUGAACUUGCAGGGAAGCGUGGUGGAUUGUAAGCAACCAAAGGGAACGACUCGAGAGACGAUCCAUGGGGUUCAAAUAUAGAGGGAAAGGGCCC
RNAcentral lists this long non-coding RNA (767 nucleotides) under Selaginella moellendorffii. RNAcentral describes it as "long non-coding RNA (SMOE_LNC000179)". The record is from RNAcentral. Lineage: Eukaryota; Viridiplantae; Streptophyta; Lycopodiopsida; Selaginellales; Selaginellaceae.